AUUGAACGCUGGCGGAAUGCUUUACACAUGCAAGUCGAACGGCAGCACGGGGGCGAACCCUGGUGGCGAGUGGCGCACGGGUGAGUAAUACAUCGGAACGUGUCCUAGGGUGGGGAGUAGCCGCGAAGCCGGAUUAAUACCGCAUACGCUCGAAAGAGGAAAGUAGGGGAGUCGUAAGAUCUCACGCCCAACGGAGCGGCCGAUGCCGGAUUAGCUUGUUGGUGAGGUAAAGACUCACCAAGGCGACGAUCCGUAGCUGGUCUGAGAGGACGACCAGCCACACUGGGACUGAGACACGGCCCA
This 303-nucleotide ribosomal RNA is filed under the name uncultured bacterium. RNAcentral's name for it is "bacterial SSU rRNA". It matches the Rfam family "Bacterial small subunit ribosomal RNA", at positions 30 to 333 of the family's 1533-position model. The record is from RNAcentral.